UUGCUUCAGCAAUAAAUAUACUAAAAUUAGAGCAAUACAGAGAUUAGCAUGACCCCUAUGCAUGGAUGACAUGCAUUCUAAUGAAAAAUGGACAAAAAAUUU
Molecule: small nuclear RNA, 102 nt
Filed under: Dasypus novemcinctus (nine-banded armadillo)
Lineage: Eukaryota; Metazoa; Chordata; Mammalia; Cingulata; Dasypodidae
Source: RNAcentral